This 77-nucleotide transfer RNA is filed under the name Terasakiispira papahanaumokuakeensis. RNAcentral describes it as "tRNA-Met". It matches the Rfam family "tRNA". Rfam says of the family: Transfer RNA (tRNA) molecules are approximately 80 nucleotides in length. Their secondary structure includes four short double-helical elements and three loops (D, anti-codon, and T loops). The record is from RNAcentral. Lineage: Bacteria; Pseudomonadati; Pseudomonadota; Gammaproteobacteria; Oceanospirillales.
GGCAAUGUAGCUCAGUUGGUUAGAGCACAUCACUCAUAAUGAUGGGGUCGCUGGUUCGAAUCCAGCCAUUGCCACCA